Molecule: long non-coding RNA, 204 nt
Filed under: Drosophila guanche
Lineage: Eukaryota; Metazoa; Arthropoda; Insecta; Diptera; Drosophilidae
Source: RNAcentral
UCUUGAUCAGCAUCAAUAGCCGAGUCGAUAUCUGUCUGUCCGUCCGUCUGUACGUCCGUCCGUCGUGCUUGUCGGCUAGUUCUCAGAGACUAUAAGAGCAAGAGCCACCAAAUUUUGGCUCCGGACUGCUGUAUGCUCACAUUGAAACCAGUGUAUUUCAAAAAUUAGCCGCGCCCCUACCGCCCCCGCAAAAGGGUGGAAACC